This 376-nucleotide ribosomal RNA is filed under the name uncultured organism. RNAcentral's name for it is "partial 16S ribosomal RNA". It matches the Rfam family "Bacterial small subunit ribosomal RNA", at positions 525 to 896 of the family's 1533-position model. The record is from RNAcentral.
GAGGGGGGUGUAAGCGUUAUUCGGAAUUACUGGGCGUAAAGGGUGCGUAGACGGGCGCGUUAAGUCUGUUGUUAAAUUUUUCGGGCCUAACCGAAAAGCUGCAAUGGAAACUGACGUGCUAGAGAAUGAGAGAGAGAAGUGGAAUUCCCGGAGUAGCGGUAAAAUGCGUGGAUCUCGGGAGGAACACCAAUGGCGAAGGCAGCUUCUUGGCUCAUUUCAGACGUUGAGGCACGAAAGCGUGGGGAGCAAACAGGAUUAGAUACCCUGGUAGUCCACGCCGUAAACGAUAAUCACUAGACGUUAGUCCGGCUUUGCUGGAUUAGUGUCGUAGCUAACGCGUUAAGUGAUUCGCCUGGGGACUACGAUCGCAAGAUUA